GGAAAGUUCCUCGGUGUGUCCCCCGGCCACCCAGGUUCCCGCUGGGGGCCGCCACAGCUCUCUCUGCCUGGGUCUGCGGCUGCUGAGCUCUCGGGAGGGGAGGAGGGCCGGCCUCAAGAGAGCUGUGGAGGCCUAAGGAGCCAGCAGCAGCCUGCACCUCACUCCUGCGGGCUGGCGGUGCGUGUGGGCCGACCCCAUCCCAGCGCCGGGUCAAGUGUGUUCCACAAGGUCUCAGACGCUGCAGGGACGCGUGGCCGGGACCAGACACAGCCCAGGCACCCUCCAGGGCCUUCCCGCUGCCCCAUGGCAGCAGCUGACAGAGAGCGGGAUGGACAACCCUGACACCACUCAGCAGAGGACAGCACAGCAACCGAACCGCAGAGGAGGCUGUACCGCCCACCCAUCCACACCGCGGACGAGAGCCGUACGUGGAGCCGUACUCGCCCCGCAGACACGGCCUGUGCCGUAGCCCUGAGAGGAAAGCCACGGCUUCCCCUUUCACAGGUAGCAUGUGACCCUCACGGCGUGUGGGAGACCUGAAAGAGGAAACUUACUUUGCCUAACGUCAGAUGUCCCCGCAACAGGAUGUGUUAUGCAGCCCUGCCUGGCCCUCCGUGCACCUGCUUGCUCCUUGCAACAGCCCCGGGAGCGGCAAAGACAGUACUUACUAGGAAAGUCAUGGAAAGCUGGAUGGGCCUACUGGCUGGUGCCUGGGGGACGACUCAGACCCUGGGACAGGAGGGUUCCCACCCUGCCCAGCCAGCUCCUGGCCCCAGGAGUCCGUCCUCUCUCCUCCAAAUCUGGCCCCCUGUCCCUUCCCUCUCUGGUCCUCCCUGUUUCACCUGCAGGGUGCUCAGUGCCCGGAACUUGGCGUAUCUGAGGUGGCCAGAGGCGCCGGCAGAGCAGGAUGUCGGAGCUGCCACUCGCCUUCCACUGUGCUGUGAGAGCCACCGGGACACGUCGGCAUCUGCCCUGUUCUGAAAUCAACACCGAGACACACCGAGUCCCUUCAGAGGCAUCUGCAGAGGCAGCAACGCCACGCGAGGGCUGCCGACUCUCCAGCUCCAACAUUUCGUCUGGACCUCCCGGCAGCGCAGCGGGGGAUCCCCUCCCAUGAGGGGCCCGGAGGGGCUUCGAGAAGGCUGUCGCCUGAUGGGCUCCGUCAAGUUUCCCACUGCAGACCCUAAUUCUACCAGUUUUGAUUCCAUUUUAAAUCUGACUUCCAAGUGGCACCCCUGCCGACGGUCAAAACGCCCCCUCUCCUGGUGUGUGCCCUCCAUCCCCGCUUCCUGGGGGCAGCCGGUUUCUUGCUGUCUGGACAACAGAGCUCUGCCAACGCCACUUAUCUCGCCCGUCCAGGACUUUAUCACCAACUGUCCUACUUCCGACUCCAGCAAAGGAGCGACAGCGAGCACAUCUGUGCUUGGCUGUGACUAACAGGGCCUCUGAAUAAAGUGAAAAUAAUCCCACUUUAAGCUGCAAGAGGAAAGACCCACAGAAGGAAAGUCCUUCACGGAUGGAGACCCAGGAUCCUGAAAUGCAGGGCGUCCCUUCAACAUUCUGAGUAUAAAAAUUUAAACAUGCAAGCGCCGGGAGGAAAAGCAAUUCCUAAAACAUGGCAGAAACAACAUAAAAAAAAUCUUGCUGUUGUUUUAAAAACUGACCUAAGACCAGGCAUGGUGGCUCACACCUGUAAUCCCAGCACUUUGGGAGGCCAAGGCGGGAGGAUCACUUGAGGCCAAAAGUUCAAGACCAGCCUGGGCAAUGUAGUGAGACCACCCCCCAUCUCUACAAACAAAUGUAAAAAUUAGCCAGACAUGGUGGUGUGCACCUGUGGUCCCAGCUACUUGGGAGGCUGAGGUGGGAGGAUGGCUUGAGCCCAGGAGGUUGAGGCUGCAGUGAGCUGAGAUUGUACCACUGCAUUCCAGCCUGGGUGACAGAGCAAGACCCUGUCUCAGGAAAAAAAAUAAAAAAAUAAAAAAUAAAUAGCCUGAUUUCCUGUUUUCCAGGAAA
Long non-coding RNA from Pan troglodytes (chimpanzee), 2013 nucleotides. RefSeq lists it as uncharacterized. The transcript has 5 exons. The record is from RefSeq and is a predicted model, not a curated record. NCBI's taxonomy places the organism in Eukaryota, Metazoa, Chordata, Mammalia, Primates, Hominidae.